Molecule: ribosomal RNA, 1133 nt
Filed under: Lindgomyces angustiascus
Lineage: Eukaryota; Fungi; Ascomycota; Dothideomycetes; Pleosporales; Lindgomycetaceae
Description: SSU rRNA
Rfam family: Eukaryotic small subunit ribosomal RNA
Source: RNAcentral
GUAGUCAUAUGCUUGUCUCAAAGAUUAAGCCAUGCAUGUCUAAGUAUAAGCAAUUAUACCGUGAAACUGCGAAUGGCUCAUUAAAUCAGUUAUCGUUUAUUUGAUAGUACCUUACUACUUGGAUAACCGUGGUAAUUCUAGAGCUAAUACAUGCUAAAAACCCCGACUUCGGGAGGGGUGUAUUUAUUAGAUAAAAAACCAAUGCCCUUCGGGGCUCUUUGGUGAUUCAUAAUAACUUAACGGAUCGCAUGGCCUUGCGCCGGCGACGGUUCAUUCAAAUUUCUGCCCUAUCAACUUUCGAUGGUAAGGUAUUGGCUUACCAUGGUUUCAACGGGUAACGGGGAAUUAGGGUUCGAUUCCGGAGAGGGAGCCUGAGAAACGGCUACCACAUCCAAGGAAGGCAGCAGGCGCGCAAAUUACCCAAUCCCGACACGGGGAGGUAGUGACAAUAAAUACUGAUACAGGGCUCUUUUGGGUCUUGUAAUUGGAAUGAGUACAAUUUAAACCCCUUAACGAGGAACAAUUGGAGGGCAAGUCUGGUGCCAGCAGCCGCGGUAAUUCCAGCUCCAAUAGCGUAUAUUAAAGUUGUUGCAGUUAAAAAGCUCGUAGUUGAAACUUGGGCCUGGCUGGCCGGUCCGCCUCACCGCGUGUACUGGUCCGGCCGGGCCUUUCCUUCUGGAGAGCCUCAUGCCCUUCACUGGGUGUGUUGGGGAACCAGGACUUUUACUUUGAAAAAAUUAGAGUGUUCAAAGCAGGCCUUUGCUCGAAUACGUUAGCAUGGAAUAAUAGAAUAGGACGUGCGAUCCUAUUUUGUUGGUUUCUAGGACCGCCGUAAUGAUUAAUAGGGAUAGUCGGGGGCAUCAGUAUUCAAUUGUCAGAGGUGAAAUUCUUGGAUUUAUUGAAGACUAACUACUGCGAAAGCAUUUGCCAAGGAUGUUUUCAUUAAUCAGUGAACGAAAGUUAGGGGAUCGAAGACGAUCAGAUACCGUCGUAGUCUUAACCGUAAACUAUGCCGACUAGGGAUCGGGCGAUGUUAUUAUUUUGACUCGCUCGGCACCUUACGAGAAAUCAAAGUUUUUGGGUUCUGGGGGGAGUAUGGUCGCAAGGCUGAAACUUAAAGGAAUUGACGGAAG